Molecule: long non-coding RNA, 2400 nt
Organism: Centrocercus urophasianus (Greater sage-grouse)
Lineage: Eukaryota; Metazoa; Chordata; Aves; Galliformes; Phasianidae
Exons: 3
Source: RefSeq, a predicted model, not a curated record
GGUGGGGAGGGGAGGUGAGGGGCACUGGGUAAACACAGCCGAAAUGACAGCAGCAGUCCUCAUCACAGAGCGUUAGCAAUUCUAACAGCCACGUCAGGCGGAGAAUCUGAAAGACAGAUGUAACACGAGCAAAGGAAGAAUGUGGCAGUUUGCAAACAGCGAGUUGCGUGGUGUUUUUGAAGGUGUGUUCAUUCUUGAAGCACCUCGAAAGAAAUGCAAAUGAAAUGUAUGGUGGGCAGGUCUACGUGCAAGCAAGGCCUGUUGGAGCUUCACGUUGGAGAUGUAGAAACUUCUUUGUCUCAUAGAAAGAGAUAACAAGGCUUUUUGAAAGUGUGAGCAAAGCAUUGGAGGCCUGUUUUUGCCUGAAAGCAUAGUGGGAUAGAUCAUGGAGUCUGAGGAGCAGGGAGUCGUGUGCUGUUCUAUUAAUAAAAGCAGAAGGAAGUAACAGAACAGAAGCAGUGGAGCAAAUCCAAAAGCCAGUGCCCCACCAAACGGGCAAAAAGCCUCACCAAACAAAAAGCUGAUGAAUUUCCGAGGUAGAAUUUGCUGGCAGACAGACUGGGCUGAUGUUUCCUAAAGCAACCAGUGUAAUCCCUCCACUCUGCUAAGGCAAUGCCAAACAAAAGAAACCUGCUCAACGUUUUCUAUUAGCCUGAAAUUUUGCUGUAGAGAAAAUGAUAACACAGAAGGAAUUUCCUUGGGAAAGAAAAGAGAAAAGGGCGCUGUGGAAUUAUUUUAGUUCAGGCGACUGCAAUGCUAAAAAUGAAUUCUGGGGCAGGACAAUAAACUCAUACACGAAUACUAAUUCUGCUUCCAAUUAUCCAAGGAGUUCAGUCACUGAAGCCCAUUCACAGUCUGUGUGGUUCCCCAGGCUCAGAGGGAUGCUCCAAAAAACUUUGAAAAUCCCAAUCUAAACACGUCUGUGUCCAACUUUCUAAAGAUCCUCCUGUGGGGCUGCAAAGAAUAAGUAAUUUCUAUCUGUAACACGUUAUGAAGUCCUCAGGAAGUAGACACCAGGGCAGUGUAAAAUGGUUAUUUUAGCAGUAUCUUCUCUUACAAUUGCUUGUUCUCCAUCUCCACGGAGGGCGGCUGGCAGCACAGUGCUGCAGUGAUUUAAGCCCACCAGGCUGCGGUGUUGGCUCUUGUGCAGUGCCUGAGCCCCGUGCAGGACUUGGCCAUAAACUGCACAGCCCAAGGAAGAUGUUGCUUGUUUUCCAGGACAGGAUGAAAUCACCCCGUGCAUGUCCUCUGUCUAUUGCCUCUCCGGGCAGGGAAAACAUAAAUGCCUUUCCCAUCAUUUUAUUUAUUGCCUUUCUGUGUUUCCUGGGAAAAGCCUAUUUUUAUUUUUUUAGCACUUGUGUGUGUGUGAGUCUAUGUGGGGUAAGCGUGUGUGUGUGCGUGUUUAGGAGGUUAAAAAAAAUUUCUUGCUGUCAGCAAGUGAUGUUACAAACCUGCUCUGACAAGGCUGGUUGUAUAUUUACAGUUGGUGAGAGCGAAGGCUUCAUCAAUCUUCACGCUUUGAAAGGGACAGGCCCGCUCCCAUGAGCACCUGCUCCGGGAGAACAGCUGAACUGUGACUUUCCAGGGAGCUGGCUGUAAAUUUUAGCCAUUCCCCCCACAGCCCACGCAUGCUUGAGCUCUUUAACCUUCCCAGGCUGGCAGGAGUCCCAGCAAUCAGUUUAGUGCAAAGACUGGGGUUCUUUUUAAUUAACCUUUUGUUUCCCGCUGCAGGUGUUUCCAAGUUUCUUCACGUUAAAAAGGAAGAGGAAAAAAACUGUUUGCAGAGGUGCAUCCACUCUCUUCCACUCGUGCUAUGCUCGGUGAUCAAAUGGGACCGGUCUUUCUCAUCUUUCUGCUCCUCAUUUGCCUCCUGCAUUUCUGCCACCCUUUGAAUUCUCCCUCUUAAGUGGUGUGUUGCCUUCCUGGGAGCUCCUGCAGCCCUGCCUGUGUGAACAAGGAUGUGAUAAUACUGGGUCCUGAAGCUGCAAAUGCAGAACGAACCAAGGAGUAAAAGAGUUGACAAGACAAGCAGUGGUGGGAAAUGGAGGGAAGACAGUGAAAAAGGAAAGCCGCCUGCCCUUCUACAGCAGAGGAACGCGGCAGCCUGGAUCCACUUUUGCACACACAAACCCCACCCUGUUGGAUGAAACCCCUCACAAAGUGCCAUCAGGUGAUGGCCACGACGGGGUUAUGUGGGGGCCUUCAUCAGAGCUCAGCUGGGGGUCUGCAAUAUAAAGAGGGGAUGAGGAGGGAGGUUCUCCAGCACAGCAGAGCUCCUGCUGCCUGAGGGCUGCCCGGCCCGCGUCAGACCUCAAACAGAAGGAAGCGAGGAAAAGACGACGGAACGCAUCCCCUCGGAAGCAGGGCAUGCUCGCUGCAGGGCUGCUCCCCGACGGCCGC